This 484-nucleotide ribosomal RNA is filed under the name uncultured bacterium. RNAcentral describes it as "partial 16S ribosomal RNA". It matches the Rfam family "Bacterial small subunit ribosomal RNA", at positions 30 to 507 of the family's 1533-position model. The record is from RNAcentral.
AUUGAACGCUGGCGGCAGGCCUAACACAUGCAAGUCGAGCGGAUGAAGGGAGCUUGCUCCUGGAUUCAGCGGCGGACGGGUGAGUAAUGCCUAGGAAUCUGCCUGGUAGUGGGGGAUAACGUCCGUAAACGGGCGCUAAUACCGCAUACGUCCUGAUGGAGAAAGUGGGGGAUCUUCGGACCUCACGCUAUCAGAUGAGCCUAGGUCGGAUUAGCUAGUUGGUUGGGUAAAGGCCUACCAAGGCGACGAUCCGUAACUGGUCUGAGAGGAUGAUCAGUCACACUGGAACUGAGACACGGUCCAGACUCCUACGGGAGGCAGCAGUGGGGAAUAUUGGACAAUGGGCGAAAGCCUGAUCCAGCCAUGCCGCGUGUGUGAAGAAGGUCUUCGGAUUGUAAAGCACUUUAAGUUGGGAGGAAGGGCAGUAAGUUAAUACCUUGCUGUUUUGACGUUACCAACAGAAUAAGCACCGGCUAACUUCGUG